UAGGAGCGCUUGGAGACUAGCUAUUAAUGUGCCUGAACCUUGAACUUAUUUCUUUCGGGUUUCAUCUCUAUCCUACCCCAACUUGCUUGGGAAAAAAGACUAUGUUGUUGUUGUUGUUGUUGUUUGUUAUCAGUUCAACAAAGGGUAUGUAUGACAUCUCUAGUGAACACCUACCAAUUUCUUCCUUAAAAUGUCCUUGUUCCACACAACCUACUGGUACAACUGGUACAUAGACCAUAUCAAAUUAAACUAAAGUAAAGCCAGAUUCAAACUGAUCUGAACCAGAGAUCAGCAGCAUACUGGACCUAGUCAAGGACAGGCUUAAUUUAACCAGGCUUGUUUUACCCGAGCCAGGUGAUGCCUGAACCCAUAUCCACUUUAAUGUUUAAGAACGCUAAGGACAGCCAAAUGUACCUUAGUUUUGCCCAGAAGCUAUACAAGCUAGUAACAAAUGCUUGUCUACACCUGCCCUCCAGAUGUCCAAAUGGUUUGGCUCCUCCCAUGUAAUAUUGUUCACACACCACUCGUGCCUCUCCACGGUCUUAGAAAUAUGUUUUUAGUACAUUAAAAAGAACAUAUGACAUCUUCAAUGCUUCUACUAUGCUUCCAAGAUCAUGCUUAAUCAAAAUAUGAAGUAUUAGCCCAAAAACUGUUUGUGAUGAAACUCAUAGCAAACCCCAUCAGAGAGGAGACAUAACUGAGCAAAAACAGAAACUUAGGAAUCAUAGGAAUCACAGAAAGUAAUAGAACCAGGGGGGAAAAGGUGAUGCCAUUACAUCUCCAGUAGGUUGUUUCAUUUGAAGAACUGGAUAAUAACACUCUUUAUUUAACCUCCAGAGGAUGCAUUCAUUUGGAAAAAAUGGCAAAAGCCCCAAUCAUCAAAUAUAUAGCGAUAUAGACAAGUCUGAAGUAUUGCAAGCAACCAACAACAUAUCUAGAUAAUAGAGAGAACAACAGGUUCUAAAAAGCAUAUCACUCCAACAAAAAAGUCACGGACAGAAAAUGAAACACACAUCAACUAAUCAGAAAUAAGUGAUAUCCUCUAACAUGCUGUCAACUGGUAUGACGAACUAUUCUGACUCACGCAACAUAAGUAGAUGCACCUAUGCACAUCAUGAUACCUAAAUUAGUUUUGCAAAGAAACAAUGGUGCCCUUUUAUUAAGAAAAUACCUAUAGAAGUGAACAAAUUGAUAACUCGAUUAAAUACAGAAGCAACAGCAAGUUAGACCUGAAUGGACACUGAAACACUAUAUCUAGGUAAAAGCUACAGGAGGCCAAUCGAGCUACCUGAAGUAAUUAAAAAAUGUAUCUUCUCUUCCCUAUGGACACUCCUUCAGCAUUUAUUAUCCU
This is a long non-coding RNA of Panicum virgatum (switchgrass), 1351 nucleotides long. RefSeq lists it as uncharacterized. The transcript is spliced from 2 exons. Lineage: Eukaryota; Viridiplantae; Streptophyta; Magnoliopsida; Poales; Poaceae. The record is from RefSeq and is a predicted model, not a curated record.